UACCCACUGGAGUAUGACAUGUUCAGCAAUUAGGCUAUAGACUACCUGAACAACUUCAGAAAACCCAGAAAGGGAAUACGAAAUAGGUUCAAAAGCUGGGUGAAAUCCAGUAACAUUCACCAAGCUACCCCGUUCUGUGACGCAAGUUGAAACAAAACCCCAUAGUCCGCCGAGUCUUCCGUUAACAGGAAGGAGCGUUGGAAAGCACUAGUGCGCCAACUGUGAAGAAAAGACAGGACAGAUUGCUUCAGGCGAAUGGAAAGGUUCUUAAAAACCAGGAGGAUGGAGGAGACGAUGACAGUGGAGACGUCCGGGACACAGGGAUCUCAAGCCGCUUUUGGUACAGAACCGCUUGAUGUCCGAACUGUUUCUCAAGGAGCGGAGCAUCAUCCGAGAGGUAUUAAAGUCUGGUCCUUGACCCAGUUUUCCUCCUGACCUCAAGACCUUCUGACCUAGCAUCACCCUUUCAGCCAGACUAGCCAGCUCUGGCAUCAUUUACCCACAAAUAAAAACCAUUGGGUUGAAGAUGACAAAUGGGUUGUUUUUGUUUGUCGGAAAACUGGCGUCUUAAAACAAAAUAGGUCUAUAGUUC
RNAcentral lists this long non-coding RNA (592 nucleotides) under Salmo trutta (river trout). RNAcentral describes it as "lncRNA (ENSSTUG00000035952.1)". The record is from RNAcentral. Lineage: Eukaryota; Metazoa; Chordata; Actinopteri; Salmoniformes; Salmonidae.